RNAcentral lists this ribosomal RNA (253 nucleotides) under uncultured bacterium. RNAcentral's name for it is "partial 16S ribosomal RNA". It matches the Rfam family "Bacterial small subunit ribosomal RNA", at positions 524 to 776 of the family's 1533-position model. The record is from RNAcentral.
UACGUAGGCAGCAAGCGUUGUUCGGAAUUACUGGGCGUAAAGAGUGUGUAGGCGGUGUUCUAAGUCUGUCGUGAAAUCUCCCGGCUUAACUGGGAGGGUGCGGCGGAAACUGGAGUGCUAGAGGGUGGGAGAGGAAAGCGGAAUUCCUGGUGUAGCGGUGAAAUGCGUAGAUAUCAGGAAGAACACCCGUGGCGAAAGCGGCUCUCUGGAACGGUACUGACGCUGAGACGCGAAAGCGUGGGGAGCGAACAGG